RNAcentral lists this ribosomal RNA (729 nucleotides) under bacterium enrichment culture clone ADE_87. RNAcentral describes it as "bacterial SSU rRNA". It matches the Rfam family "Bacterial small subunit ribosomal RNA", at positions 768 to 1502 of the family's 1533-position model. The record is from RNAcentral.
GCAAACAGGAUUAGAUACCCUGGUAGUCCACGCCCUAAACGAUGUCUACUAGUUGUUGGGUCUUAAUUGACUUAGUAACGCAGCUAACGCGUGAAGUAGACCGCCUGGGGAGUACGGUCGCAAGAUUAAAACUCAAAGGAAUUGACGGGGACCCGCACAAGCGGUGGAUGAUGUGGAUUAAUUCGAUGCAACGCGAAAAACCUUACCUACCCUUGACAUGGCAGGAAUCCCGGAGAGAUCUGGGAGUGCUCGAAAGAGAACCUGCACACAGGUGCUGCAUGGCUGUCGUCAGCUCGUGUCGUGAGAUGUUGGGUUAAGUCCCGCAACGAGCGCAACCCUUGUCAUUAGUUGCUACGCAAGAGCACUCUAAUGAGACUGCCGGUGACAAACCGGAGGAAGGUGGGGAUGACGUCAAGUCCUCAUGGCCCUUAUGGGUAGGGCUUCACACGUCAUACAAUGGUACAUACAGAGGGCCGCCAACCCGCGAGGGGGAGCUAAUCCCAGAAAGUGUAUCGUAGUCCGGAUUGUAGUCUGCAACUCGACUACAUGAAGUUGGAAUCGCUAGUAAUCGCGGAUCAGCAUGUCGCGGUGAAUACGUUCCCGGGUCUUGUACACACCGCCCGUCACACCAUGGGAGCGGGUUUUACCAGAAGUAGGUAGCUUAACCGCAAGGAGGGCGCUUACCACGGUAGGAUUCGUGACUGGGGUGAAGUCGUAACAAGGUAACCA